CCCACAGAAGAAGUCCCGGCAAACUCCGUGCCAGCAGCCGCGGUAAUACGGAGGGGGCAAGCGUUGUUCGGAAUUAUUGGGCGUAAAGGGCAUGUAGGUGGUUUGGUUAGUUAAAGGUGAAAUGCCAGGGCUUAACCCUGGAGCUGCUUUUAAUACUGCCAGACUGGAGUCCGGGAGAGGAUAGCGGAAUUCCUAGUGUAGAGGUGAAAUUCGUAGAUAUUAGGAGGAACACCAGUGGCGAAGGCGGCUAUCUGGUCCGGUACUGACACUAGGUGCGAAAGCGUGGGGAGCAAACAGGAUUAGAUACCCUGGUAGUCCACGCUGUAAACGAUGAGUGCUA
RNAcentral lists this ribosomal RNA (340 nucleotides) under uncultured bacterium. RNAcentral describes it as "bacterial SSU rRNA". It matches the Rfam family "Bacterial small subunit ribosomal RNA", at positions 478 to 818 of the family's 1533-position model. The record is from RNAcentral.